ACACCUCAACUCUCAUGGCCCGCCAUGAUGAGCUUGGACUUUGGGGGUCUUGCUGGCCUGCAGGUCAGCUCCUCUCAAAUAAAUUAGCUUGCCAGUGUCUGGAGGCAUCACAGGUGUGAUAACUAUCUACGCUUGUGGUUUUCCCCCAGGUAACCUUCAGCAAUGGAGGUUCACCGGAGCUCAUAAAUGUCUCUCCUCGGUGAGGACAGAUUUUGACC
Molecule: unclassified non-coding RNA, 218 nt
Filed under: uncultured Tomentella
Lineage: Eukaryota; Fungi; Basidiomycota; Agaricomycetes; Thelephorales; Thelephoraceae
Description: sequence contains ITS2
Source: RNAcentral